RNAcentral lists this unclassified non-coding RNA (687 nucleotides) under Hevea brasiliensis (rubber tree). Lineage: Eukaryota; Viridiplantae; Streptophyta; Magnoliopsida; Malpighiales; Euphorbiaceae. The record is from RNAcentral.
GAGUAAUAUCCAUGACUAAACUGUAAGUAAAGAAUUUCACAAUGGACUAAGUGUCCAAGAAAGGGUUGACACCACAAUUACCUGGAAUUAAUAAACAUUUGCAUAUAGGAUCUGCUAAGUUACCUACUCUUUGGGCAAGUUAGCAACGUGUCUCUUUAGGUGCGCAUAAAAUGCAGUCUCUUCUGUAGUAUCAUUUAAGGAAAUUGAAAUUUCAUGAAUCAUGCUUGUAAGAAAUAGCCUUCAAGGCUCAACAAUUCUCUUCCACUUUCAUCUUUAUUGCUCCCUCUUUCUCUCUCUGUGCCUCCCCCACUCUCCCCUUUCUCCUCUUUUUUAAACAUGUGUAUCCUGAGACAGUUUUAUAAAACAUUUUGGUCAAUAAUGAUGGAUGGAAGUCCAAACAUCAUUCAAUUUUGUAAUAUUCAAUAACCUGGUUUGACAUUUUAUCUUGGGCCUACGAUUAAUGUUUUCAUGGUAAAAGAGCGAGUUAGGAGAUGUAGGGGUGUAUUUGUUUCAAAAAAUAAUUCACUUUGUUAACCUUCUUUAAAGAUUAGGCAAGUAGCAGUAUCCUAUUAAUAAUUUUUUCCCCAUUCACUUCUUUUCCCUCCAAAUUUCUGUGAGCAUUGAAAUCUUUUAUCUAUUAUAUCUAUUAUAAUGUACUUUCUUUUUUCUUAAACAGGUUGGUAGUGU